This 236-nucleotide ribosomal RNA is filed under the name uncultured bacterium. RNAcentral's name for it is "partial 16S ribosomal RNA". It matches the Rfam family "Bacterial small subunit ribosomal RNA", at positions 97 to 334 of the family's 1533-position model. The record is from RNAcentral.
GGCGGACGGGUGAGUAACGCGUAGGGAUCUACCUUCUGGUGGGGGAUAGCCCGGAGAAAUCCGGAUUAAUACCGCAUAAGACCUAAGGGUGAAAAGGGGCCAAUUCUUGAAAGCUCUUGCCGGAAGAUGAACCUGCGUUAGAUUAGCUAGUUGGUGGGGUAAUGGCCUACCAAGGCGACGAUCUAUAGCUGGUCUGAGAGGAUGAUCAGCCACACUGGAACUGAGGCACGGUCCAG